Molecule: ribosomal RNA, 680 nt
Filed under: Enterobacter cloacae
Lineage: Bacteria; Pseudomonadati; Pseudomonadota; Gammaproteobacteria; Enterobacterales; Enterobacteriaceae
Description: bacterial SSU rRNA
Rfam family: Bacterial small subunit ribosomal RNA
Source: RNAcentral
CCAUGCCGCGUGUAUGAAAAAGGCCUUCGGGUUGUAAAGUAUUUUCAGCGGGGAGGAAGGUGUUGUGGUUAAUAACCACAGCAAUUGACGUUACCCGCAGAAGAAGCACCGGCUAACUCCGUGCCAGCAGCCGCGGUAAUACGGAGGGUGCAAGCGUUAAUCGGAAUUACUGGGCGUAAAGCGCACGCAGGCGGUCUGUCAAGUCGGAUGUGAAAUCCCCGGGCUCAACCUGGGAACUGCAUUCGAAACUGGCAGGCUAGAGUCUUGUAGAGGGGGGUAGAAUUCCAGGUGUAGCGGUGAAAUGCGUAGAGAUCUGGAGGAAUACCGGUGGCGAAGGCGGCCCCCUGGACAAAGACUGACGCUCAGGUGCGAAAGCGUGGGGAGCAAACAGGAUUAAAUACCCUGGUAGUCCACGCCGUAAACGAUGUCGAUUUGGAGGUUGUGCCCUUGAGGCGUGGCUUCCGGAGCUAACGCGUUAAACCGACCGCCUGGGGAGUACGGCCGCAAGGUUAAAACUCAAAUGAAUUGACGGGGGCCCGCACAAGCGGUGGAGCAUGUGGUUUAAUUCUAUGCAACGCGAAGAACCUUACCUGGUCUUGACAUCCACAGAACUUUCCCAGAGAUGGAUUGGUGCCUUCGGGAACUGUGAGACAGGUGCUGCAUGGCUCUCGACAGCACCC